UGCAGUUUUUGUCAUUUAGGCCUAAGAUUUGAUGUUUAUAAAUUAUUUUUUAAAAUAAAAAAUAAAUGAGCUUUUUAAGAUCGAUUGAUUGAUGUGUAAUGUGUUUGAUCAGCUGGUGUUUCUUGUAAUCUUAUCUUAUAUGACAUAACUUACAUAUAAAACUUUGUCCUAAAUAGCUAAUAAUUAUAAAAUAUUUUUUUAUAAUUUCAAAACAAAAGAUGUUUAAGAUAAUUGAAAAGACAGAUAAUAGAAAACAAAAGAAAUUUUAGUUAAUUAUUAUCAAUAUAAAGGUUUGUAAUAAUUUUUUAAAGGCUAAUUUGCAUAAGAAAUUCAUUGCCUUUGUAUUUUUGCAAACAUAUGCCACUUUUUUGAAUUUUGGAGGUUAAAUUUAAAUUUUUAGUAAACUAACUAAAAUACUCUUAUUUCUCUCUCUCUUUUUUCUCCCUCUAAUUUGUUUUUCUUUGCUUUCUUCAUCUCUCUCCUUCUGAUUGUUCUCUUUUUUCUUCUCUUGCUUCCUCCUCCUCAUCCUCUUCCACUACCCCUUCCCUCCUCCUCCACCACCACCUCAUAUCGACACUGUGCUCCUCUCUCCUACCUCACCCAACACCUCUGUCGACGUCUAGAGCGGUGGCGCAGGCUCGAAUAUGGCACAGAUCACAAAGGUAAGGCAACAACAACGACAAUGAGGGUGCUAUAUGAUUUGAGGAUGAUAGGGAGGGAGAGCGCGUCGAGACAGGGCCGACUGUUAUGAUAGAGGGCGAGGGAGAGGGUACGGUAGUGUAGAAAAAUGCAAAGGGUGAAAGAAAAGGAAGAAAAAGAAAAAAGUAAAUAAAUAUUUUUCUUCUCGUAAAAAGGCCAUCAUGUGUCAUGGCUGCUAAGAAAACACCAAAACAUAGAAAAGAAAGAAAAAGAAGACGAAGUUGCAUUAUUUGUGUAAUGACCCGACCCGCUAGCAAUUGUCAUGCCCCGGAUUACCACGUUUCCCCGGGCACGCCAAUAGACCCGCCAUAUACAUAGAAAUUUUCAGUGUAUAUGAAGCGAUAGCUGUACCUGCAAACGAAUAGAAGCUACAACCAAAGCACAGAGUUGCUAAAACUAAAAUAUAUAUAAAACUUAAAAGGUUCACUGUACAUACAAAAGUCUACCAUAACACCUCGCUCCAACAAGUAAACAAAACGCGUAAUAUGUACAUGAACACAACCCACUACCUCUGACGGGUACUCUGCUAGCACGGCGGCCACUGGUGACAAGGAUCUAGCUCGCGACUCCCUUCCCACGAUCGAAAU
Molecule: long non-coding RNA, 1286 nt
Filed under: Ananas comosus (pineapple)
Lineage: Eukaryota; Viridiplantae; Streptophyta; Magnoliopsida; Poales; Bromeliaceae
Description: long non-coding RNA (ACOM_LNC019500)
Source: RNAcentral